RNAcentral lists this ribosomal RNA (477 nucleotides) under uncultured bacterium. Its description in RNAcentral is "partial 16S ribosomal RNA". It matches the Rfam family "Bacterial small subunit ribosomal RNA", at positions 28 to 522 of the family's 1533-position model. The record is from RNAcentral.
GACGAACGCUGGCGGCGCGCUUAACACAUGCAAGUCGAACGGUAAGGCCCUUCGGGGUACACGAGUGGCGAACGGGUGAGUAACACGUGGGUGAUCUGCCCUGCACUUCGGGAUAAGCCUGGGAAACUGGGUCUAAUACCGGAUAGGACCACUGCCUGCAUGGGUGGUGGUGGAAAGCUUUUGCGGUGUGGGAUGGGCCCGCGGCCUAUCAGCUUGUUGGGGGGGUGAUGGCCUACCAAGGCGACGACGGGUAGCCGGCCUGAGAGGGUGACCGGCCACACUGGGACUGAGAUACGGCCCAGACUCCUACGGGAGGCAGCAGUGGGGAAUAUUGCACAAUGGGCGCAAGCCUGAUGCAGCGACGCCGCGUGAGGGAUGACGGCCUUCGGGUUGUAAACCUCUUUCAGCACCGACGAAGCGCAAGUGACGGUAGGUGCAGAAGAAGGACCGGCCAACUACGUGCCAGCCGCCGCAUAA